RNAcentral lists this long non-coding RNA (228 nucleotides) under Homo sapiens (human). RNAcentral's name for it is "non-protein coding lnc-DPPA4-3:1". Lineage: Eukaryota; Metazoa; Chordata; Mammalia; Primates; Hominidae. The record is from RNAcentral.
CAGGUACCAGAUAUGGUGGUUGGCGAUCACAUUGAUAGAGAAUAUGACUAUCAGCCUGGGAAGAAGAAAGAGAAGAUUUUUACAUACCUGUGCUCAAAACAGGGAUGCAAGAAAAAAGAGAUGCUGCAGAUGGCAUGUGCCUAGUGUCACAGCAACUGCUGUAUUCAGCACAGACAGCCCCUGGACCACAGCUGCAGACAUGGGAGCUGCCCCACCAUCAAAGCUGGG